GCCGGCUUAGCUCAGCCUGGUAGAGCAUUGGCUUUGUAACCCAAAGGUCGGGGGUUCAAAUCCCUCAGCCGGCACCA
Molecule: transfer RNA, 77 nt
Filed under: Gluconobacter oxydans
Lineage: Bacteria; Pseudomonadati; Pseudomonadota; Alphaproteobacteria; Acetobacterales; Acetobacteraceae
Description: tRNA-Thr
Rfam family: tRNA
About the family: Transfer RNA (tRNA) molecules are approximately 80 nucleotides in length.
Source: RNAcentral